UAGCUCAACUAGUGGGCUGCCGAAAAUACUGUAGAACUAGGGAGUGGGAGAGGUAGACGGUAUUCGGUAGGAAGGGGUAAAAUCCUUUGAUCUAUUGAGGACCACCUGUGGCGAAGGCGGUCUACCAGAACACGUUCGACGGUGAGGGAUGAAAGCUGGGGGAGCAAACCGGAUUAGGUACCCGGGUAGUCCCAGCUGUAAACGAUGCAGACUCGGUGAUGCCCUGGCUUGUGGCCAGUGCAGUGCCGCAGGGAAGCCGUUAAGUUUGCCGCCUGGGAAGUACGUACGCAAGUAUGAAACUUAAAGGAAUUGGCGGGGGAGCACCACAAGGGGUGAAGCCUGCGGUUCAAUUGGAGUCAACGCCAGAAAUCUUACCCGAAGAGACAGCAGAAUGAAGGUCAAGCUGGAGACUUUACCAGACAAGCUGAGAAGUGGUGCAUGGCCGUCGCCAGCUCGUGCCGUGAGAUGUCCUGUUAAGUCAGGUAACGAGCGAGAUCCCUGCCUCUAGUUGCCACCAUUACUCUCAGGAGUAGUGGGGCGAAUUAGCGGGACCGCCGCAGUUAAUGCGGAGGAAGGAAGGGGCCACGGCAGGUCAGUAUGCCCCGAAA
RNAcentral lists this ribosomal RNA (608 nucleotides) under uncultured archaeon. RNAcentral's name for it is "bacterial SSU rRNA". It matches the Rfam family "Archaeal small subunit ribosomal RNA", at positions 555 to 1161 of the family's 1478-position model. The record is from RNAcentral.